GAGUUUGAUCCUGGCUCAGAACGAACGCUGGCGGCAGGCUUAACACAUGCAAGUCGAGCGAAGUCUUCGGACUUAGCGGCGGACGGGUGAGUAACGCGUGGGAACGUGCCCUUUGCUACGGAAUAGCCUCGGGAAACUGGGAGUAAUACCGUAUGUGCCCCCCCAAUCAAAUUUCAUUUGAUUGGUAAUUCGAGAGUUUUAUCGAAUGCCGGAUGGCAUUUGAUGGGGGGGGAAAGAUUUAUCGGCAAAGGAUCGGCCCGCGUUGGAUUAGGUAGUUGGUGGGGUAAUGGCCUACCAAGCCGACGAUCCAUAGCUGGUUUGAGAGGAUGAUCAGCCACACUGGGACUGAGACACGGCCCAGACUCCUACGGGAGGCAGCAGUGGGGAAUCUUGGACAAUGGGGGCAACCCUGAUCCAGCCAUGCCGCGUGAGCGAUGAAGGCCUUAGGGUUGUAAAGCUCUUUCGCCUGGAAGAUAAUGGACCGGACCAGAAAGAGCC
Molecule: ribosomal RNA, 498 nt
Filed under: uncultured bacterium
Lineage: Bacteria
Description: bacterial SSU rRNA
Rfam family: Bacterial small subunit ribosomal RNA
Source: RNAcentral